UGUCAAGCAGUUCUCCCUGCCUCAGCCUCCCGAGUAGCUGGGAUUAUAGGUGUGUGCCAUGACGCUUGGCUAAUUACAAAAAUUUCUAAUACAGGAAGGGUUUUGCUGUAUUGGCCAGGCUGGUCUCGAACUCUUUACCUCAAGAGAUUGGCCCACCUUGGCCUCCUAAAAUGCUGGGAUUACAGGCUUGAGCCACUGUGCCCGACCCAAUCCUGACAUCUUUUAAAGCUGCCUUCAUGUACCAAAAGCCAGUCUGUUGGAAAAUCAGGCUUGUUGAAGAGCCUAAGAGGAGAGGGAUAAGCUUCAGCUAGGUAAAUAACUAUGCAUAUGUUAAAAAUGUGGGCCAAACUCUAUCCCAAAUAUUAACUCUUCUGCUUGGUGUUUUAUAUCCAUUUAUGGUUAUUCUUUCAGUAUUAAGAUUUUUAAAGAUUCUUUUGAUAAUUGUGGACAAAUUACUAUUAAAACUCAGCUGCAUUUGUAACACUUUAAAGAACUAACUAAUGACAUUAUUUUUCUCGGAGGCAUUUUGGAUAGUUACAUAAUUGUUUAUCUCUUUGCCAGAAAUCUUUUUUUUUUUUUUUUCCAGAGCAGAAACCUGAAAAGAAACAUUCCUUUGCAUUAAGUGCUGUUUCACUGUGUGACAAUCAAGUUUUGAAUGUGAGAACAAGAUCAUCGUGUAUUUUUGGGAUAAUUCUUGCUUAAUAGUGAUAAUGCUAAGUGUUAAAAUUAUGGAACAAUUUGUUUCUUUGAAAAUUACUAUUUGCCUGCUCACCAGAUGGGAGCUGAUGAGAAUGUGGAUGUAAAAAUUAAAUUGUAUUUAGCUUGUAUAAAAGAAGUUUUAAAAAGCUUUUUUGUUUUGUGCUGCUACUGAAGUUACUUAGCUGUGGAAAUGAGGUGAUUGCAGGCACCUAGAAUUUGAUCUCCUUCACUUCCACAAUGGGAAGAAAUUCUCCAAGAAGCACAGGAAUCUGACUUUCUGAUAUUGAGACUCCUAGGCGUCAAGCCCCAUGGAAGGGGUGUUGAUUAUAUGAACGUUGGCGUUGAUGUGGGCAUCCUCCAAGCCGGACGCAGGGAGCGGGGAAGGGCAGAAAGAACAGGCCCCUCAGGAGCCAUGAGAAAAUAAAGUGUUGGCAGCAGUGGUGAGGGUUGGUAUCAGGGGCCAGGAAGAGGUGGCGAAGGGAGCAUGUGCCUCAAGACGGCUCUGGAACCCGCGGUCCCUGCAGUGAGGUCUGGUCUGCAGGGGAUGUGGAUGGCCACGCGGCGAGGCCCACAGACAGCCUGGACUCGGCUGCCUCAGAACUCUGGUGGACGUUGCAAACGGCCCCACAGGGUUGCAGUGCACAUUCCUCGGACAGAAAGAAGACGCUUGGAACUGUUCCCGGCACGAAGCCAGCACCCUGUGAACAGUGGCUGCUGCUGUUGUGACUGAGUGCCGUCCAACUGGGAACAUUUGCUCUGCUCAGUUCACUGUCUUCAACAAGCUUGACGCAUUGAACGAGGGCUCAGUCGAUAAUGUACUCUGUAAAUUCGCUCUCCCGGCUAGAGUGAGCAAAGCCCAGGGAGCGGGUGGUUCUCAUUGUUAGCCAGGUGUUUGUGGCAGGGCCAGCUGUGUGGGUGCCAGAGCGAAUGUGACCAGGAAGCCUCUGUCCCCCCGAGGUGGCCAGCAUUCCUGUUACACGUGCCAUAGGCAGAAGAUCUAUACAACCUGGCAUUUGGCCGUGGCUUCCAGGACAGGCUGGAUGCAGAGUGAAGUCCUCUCCUCACUGUCAAUGUUUGCAGAUGUCUUCUUGUAUAAACUUCAUAUUUCUUGAGACUUUCAAUUAGGUUUUUACUUAACUGGACUUUUAAAAUUGCCAUGCACAUAACUCUACCAGUUACAAUCGUGAACUAACAUGGGUUUUUAGUUUUACUUUGAAUGUUUAACAUUUGCAUGCUGGAUGUGGGGCUGGAGGUCAUUUAUCUGCUUUUCAUUUCCUUUUUGGUUAUACUUAGUGACUUUCAGGUAAGGUGUGGAAGGCGUGGUACAGGGUGAAUUGCAGGCUGCACUGUGGCAUUGUGGAGGACAGGCGCGGGCUGUAGUGGUGUGUAUAGUGGAUGAGAGACAAGAGACUUCCAUCCUUGAGGGAAACACAACAAUUUAAAAAACUGAUCAUCUAGCUUACAUGAGGUCCAACAAAUACAGUUUGCAAAGUUGAACUUCCAAGUUAAUUUAGUAAUUUUUCCCCUAAGUGAUUAAUUUAGUAGCUUACGUUUAAAUACAUUUCUUUUGUCUAAAGGAAGUCAUAAAUUCUAAAAUGAAUGACUAAACAUGUAAUAAUUUAGGCAUGCAGCACCUGAAGGGAAAACUGCCAGUAUGCUAAAAUAUUGGAUACAGAUGCUU
Long non-coding RNA from Cercocebus atys (sooty mangabey), 2380 nucleotides. RefSeq lists it as uncharacterized. The record is from RefSeq and is a predicted model, not a curated record. Lineage: Eukaryota; Metazoa; Chordata; Mammalia; Primates; Cercopithecidae. The transcript is spliced from 2 exons.